This 253-nucleotide ribosomal RNA is filed under the name uncultured bacterium. Its description in RNAcentral is "partial 16S ribosomal RNA". It matches the Rfam family "Bacterial small subunit ribosomal RNA", at positions 524 to 776 of the family's 1533-position model. The record is from RNAcentral.
UACGGGGGGGGCAAGCGUUGUUCGGAAUUACUGGGCGUAAAGGGCUCGUAGGCGGCCAACUAAGUCAGACGUGAAAUCCCUCGGCUUAACCGGGGAACUGCGUCCGAUACUGGAUGGCUUGAGUUUGGGAGAGGGAUGCGGAAUUCCAGGUGUAGCGGUGAAAUGCGUAGAUAUCUGGAGGAACACCGGUGGCGAAGGCGGGUCUCUGGGCCGAUACUGACGCUGAGGAGCGAAAGCGUGGGGAGCGAACAGG